GAUGAACGCUGGCGGCGUGCCUAAUACAUGCAAGUCGAGCGAACAGAUGAGGAGCUUGCUCCUCUGACGUUAGCGGCGGACGGGUGAGUAACACGUGGAUAACCUACCUAUAAGACUGGGAUAACUUCGGGAAACCGGAGCUAAUACCGGAUAAUAUAUUGAACCGCAUGGUUCAAUAGUGAAAGACGGUUUUGCUGUCACUUAUAGAUGGAUCCGCGCCGCAUUAGCUAGUUGGUAAGGUAACGGCUUACCAAGGCAACGAUGCGUAGCCGACCUGAGAGGAUGAUCGGCCACACUGGAACUGAGACACGGUCCAGACUCCUACGGGAGGCAGCAGUGGGGAAUAUUGCGCAAUGGGCGAAAGCCUGACGGAGCAACGCCGCGUGAGUGAUGAAGGUCUUCGGAUCGUAAAACUCUGUUAUUAGGGAAGAACAAAUGUGUAAGUAACUAUGCACGUCUUGACGGUACCUAAUCAGAAAGCCACGGCUAACUACGUG
Molecule: ribosomal RNA, 497 nt
Filed under: uncultured bacterium
Lineage: Bacteria
Description: partial 16S ribosomal RNA
Rfam family: Bacterial small subunit ribosomal RNA
Source: RNAcentral